CGAACACUGGCGGCGUGGAUUAGGCAUGCAAGUCGAACGAGAAAGCUCCCUUCGGGGAGUGAGUAGAGUGGCGAACGGGUGAGUAACGCGUGGGAAACCUGCCCUUCAGCGGGGGAUAACAGUUCUAACGAGCUGCUAAUACCGCAUACGACCUCUUGACCGCAUGAUCGAGAGUUGAAAGCUGGCCUCUUCUUGAAAGCUAGCACUGAAGGAUGGUCCCGCGUCCCAUUAGCUUGUUGGUGGGGUAAAGGCCUACCAAGGCGACGAUGGGUAGCCGGCCUGAGAGGGUGUCCGGCCACACUGGGACUGAGAUACGGCCCAGACUCCUACGGGAGGCAGCAGUCGAGAAGCUUCGGCAAUGGGCGAAAGCCUGACCGAGCGACGCCGCGUGAGCGAUGAAGGCCCUAGUGGUUGUAAAGCUCUGUCAGAUUGGGACGAAAACUUGGCGGUUAAUACCCGUCAAGCUUGACGGUACCUUCAGAGGAAGCACCGGCUAACUAC
This 501-nucleotide ribosomal RNA is filed under the name uncultured bacterium. RNAcentral describes it as "bacterial SSU rRNA". It matches the Rfam family "Bacterial small subunit ribosomal RNA", at positions 30 to 504 of the family's 1533-position model. The record is from RNAcentral.